This 86-nucleotide transfer RNA is filed under the name Eubacterium saphenum ATCC 49989. It matches the Rfam family "tRNA". Rfam says of the family: Transfer RNA (tRNA) molecules are approximately 80 nucleotides in length. Their secondary structure includes four short double-helical elements and three loops (D, anti-codon, and T loops). Lineage: Bacteria; Bacillati; Bacillota; Clostridia; Peptostreptococcales; Anaerovoracaceae. The record is from Rfam by way of RNAcentral.
GCCGGAGUGGUGGAAUUGGCAGACACACAGGACUUAAAAUCCUGCGAGCCGAGAGGUUCGUACCGGUUCAAGCCCGGUCUCCGGUA